RNAcentral lists this ribosomal RNA (254 nucleotides) under uncultured bacterium. RNAcentral describes it as "partial 16S ribosomal RNA". It matches the Rfam family "Bacterial small subunit ribosomal RNA", at positions 524 to 776 of the family's 1533-position model. The record is from RNAcentral.
UACGUAGGGGGCGAGCGUUGUCCGGAAUCAUUGGGCGUAAAGAGCUCGUAGGCGGUUCAGCAAGUCGGCUGUGAAAUUCCGAGGCUCAACCUCGGAACUGCAGUCGAUACUGCUGUGACUCGAGUCCGGUAGAGGAGAAUGGAAUUCCCGGUGUAGCGGUGAAAUGCGCAGAUAUCAGGAGGAACACCGACGGCGAAGGCAGCACUCUGGGCCGGUACUGACGCUGAGGAGCGAAAGCAUGGGGAGCGAACAGG